GACGAACCGUGCGAACGUUGUUCGGAUUCACUGGGCUUAAAGGGCGCGUAGGCGGGUGGUCAAGUCAGAGGUGAAAUCCUCCAGCUUAACUGGAGAAGUGCCCCUGAUACUGGCCAUCUCGAGGGAGGUAGGGGCAUGUGGAACUUCCGGUGGAGCGGUGAAAUGCGUAGAUAUCGGAAGGAACGCCGGUGGCGAAAGCGGCGUACUGGACCUCUUCUGACGCUGAGGCGCGAAAGCUAGGGGAGCAAACGGG
RNAcentral lists this ribosomal RNA (253 nucleotides) under uncultured bacterium. RNAcentral's name for it is "partial 16S ribosomal RNA". It matches the Rfam family "Bacterial small subunit ribosomal RNA", at positions 524 to 776 of the family's 1533-position model. The record is from RNAcentral.